ACUAACAAGGAUUCCCCUAGUAACUGCGAGUGAAGCGGGAAAAGCUCAAAUUUAAAAUCUGGCAGUCUCUGGCUGUCCGAGUUGUAAUCUAGAGAAGUAAUGCCCGUGCUGGACCGUGUAUAAGUCUCCUGGGAUGGGGCGUCAUAGAGGGUGAGAAUCCCGUCUUUGACACGGACUACCAGUGCAUUGUGGUAUGCUCUCAAAGAGUCGAGUUGUUUGGGAAUGCAGCUCAAAAUGGGUGGUAAAUUCCAUCUAAAGCUAAAUAUUGGCGAGAGACCGAUAGCGAACAAGUACCGUGAGGGAAAGAUGAAAAGAACUUUGGAAAGAGAGUUAAACAGUACGUGAAAUUGCUGAAAGGGAAACGCUUGAAGUCAGUCGCGUUGGCCGGGAAUCAGCCUUGCUUUUGCAUGGUGUACUUUCUGGUUGACGGGUCAGCAUCAAUUUUGACUGCUGGAAAAAGGCCUGGGGAAUGUGGCAGCUCCGGCUGUGUUAUAGCCCCUAGUCACAUACAGUGGUUGGGAUUGAGGAACUCAGCACGCCGCAAGGCCGGGUUUCGACCACGUUCGUGCUUAGGAUGCUGGCAUAAUGGCUUUAAGCGACCCGUCUUGAAACACGGACCAAGGAGUCUAACAUGCCUGCGAGUAUUUGGGUGGAAAACCCAAGUGCGUAAUGAAAGUGAAAGUUGAGAUCCCUGUCGUGGGGAGCAUCGACGCCCGGACCAGAACUUUUGGGACGGAUCCGCGGUGGAGCAUGUAUGUUGGGACCCGAAAGAUGGUGAACUAUGCCUGAAUAGGGUGAAGCCAGAGGAAACUCUGGUGGAGGCUCGUAGCGAUUCUGACGUGCAAAUCGAUCGUCAAAUUUGGGUAUAGG
RNAcentral lists this ribosomal RNA (870 nucleotides) under Agaricus sp. ZRLLD013. RNAcentral's name for it is "eukaryotic LSU rRNA". It matches the Rfam family "Eukaryotic large subunit ribosomal RNA", at positions 64 to 921 of the family's 3401-position model. Lineage: Eukaryota; Fungi; Basidiomycota; Agaricomycetes; Agaricales; Agaricaceae. The record is from RNAcentral.